GACGAACGCUGGCGGCGUGCUUAACACAUGCAAGUCGUACGGUAAGGCCCUUUCUGGGGUACACGAGUGGCGCACGGGUGAGUAAAACGUGAAUAACCUUCCCCCAAAUUGGGGAAAACCCUCGGAAACUGGGCCCAAAUCUGGCAUUGUUCCCCUGCUGCAUGGUGGGGGUUGUAAAGCCCCGGCGGUGGUGGAUGGACCCGGGGCCUAUCGGCUUGUUGGUGGGGUAGUGGCCUACCAAGGCGGCGACGGGUAGCCGGCCUGAGAGGGUGACCGGCCACAUUGGGACUGAGAGACGGCCCAGACUCCUACGGUAGGCAGCAGUGGGGAAUAUUGCACAAUGGGCGCAAGCCUGAUGCAGCAGCGCCGCGGGCGGGAUGACGGCCUUCGGGGUGAAAACCGCUUUCAGCAGGGACGAAGCUUUUUGUGACGGUACCUGCAGAAGAAGCACCGGCUAACUACGUG
RNAcentral lists this ribosomal RNA (465 nucleotides) under uncultured bacterium. RNAcentral's name for it is "partial 16S ribosomal RNA". It matches the Rfam family "Bacterial small subunit ribosomal RNA", at positions 28 to 507 of the family's 1533-position model. The record is from RNAcentral.